RNAcentral lists this ribosomal RNA (437 nucleotides) under uncultured bacterium. RNAcentral's name for it is "partial 16S ribosomal RNA". It matches the Rfam family "Bacterial small subunit ribosomal RNA", at positions 29 to 507 of the family's 1533-position model. The record is from RNAcentral.
AGCGAACGCUGGCGGCAGGCUUAACACAUGCAAGUCGAGCGGGCAUCCUUGUGGUGUCAGCGGCAGACGGGUGGGUAACGCGUGGGAACGUGCCCUUCGGUUCGGAAUAACUCAGGGAAACUUGAGCUAAUACCGGAUACGUGCGAGAGCAGAAAGGUUUAUCUGCCGAAGGAUCGGCCCGCGUCUGAUUAGCUAGUUGGUGAGGUUACGGCUCACCAAGGCGACGAUCAGUAGCUGGUCUGAGAGGAUGAUCAGCCACACUGGGACUGAGACACGACCCAGACUCCUACGGGAGGCAGCAGUGGGGAAUAUUGGACAAUGGGGGCAACCCUGAUCCAGCCAUGCCGCGUGAGUGAUGACGGCCUUAGGGUUGUAAAGCUCUUUUCUCCGGGACGAUAAUGACGGUACCGGAGGAAUAAGCCCCGGCUAACUUCGUG